AUAAGUUAAGUUGAGGUGUGAGUUAGAAUUGCAUUGAGUUGGAUUUGAAGUGAAUUGAGUUCGUUUCGAGGACGAAACUCUUUUUAAGGAGGGGAGGAUGUAGGGUACCGGACUUCGAAAAUCAUGAGGUUACGGUGUCCGUUCGGUUGGAGAGCCAUUUGAAUGGUUCCGGUAAGGUUGCGGUGUAAUGUAAUAUACCAGAUUUGAAUAUAAAAAUAAAAUAAAUAAAAAUAGUAUGAGAUACUAUUUUAUUGGAUUUAGAGAAGUGAAAUAUAGGUUGGGAAUGACCUGUGCUGAAAUCGGAGCGAAAACAGAAGAUUUAGAAUUUUCUGUGGGAAACGGGACAGAAAAAUUAACAGAAAAUGCACAGUCUCAGAAAAUUAUGAAAAUUGGAGGAUAAGUCAGAAAUAUUUUUAUGAGGCUAGAUUUAAGGUUUCAUAUUUUUCUGACACCCGUAGAGUGAGAAAUAGAAUUCGAAGGCUAUCUGAUAAAGAUUGCAGUUCGGCACAGUUUUCGGUGACCAAACGGGGUCGAAACUGAAAACUUAAGAUAUAUACUUGCUCAGCACGUUAAACUGAGUAUGCCUGUCAAAUUUGAGCUCAAUCGGACAUCCAGAAGGGCUCCAACGAAACUUAUCAGAUUUAGGGACUAAAUUGAAAGAUUGCAUAGUUGAGGGGCUAACUCGUAAAAAGGGAUCAAAUCCCUUUCUUCCUCAGCCGUAGCAGCCCCAAACCGACACAUACACACACACCCAACACACGCAUGGAAGGGAAAAGAGAAAGCUCUCCUUUCUCUCUCUAAAUCUCUCCCAAAAAGAGAUGAUUUUGGUGGAGAUUGAAGCUCUAAGGUGGAUUUCCAUCUUCUCCAUCUUCUUCCUCUCCAUUGGAGCAUGGUUUGUAGGUAAGCUUCAAAACCCUUUAAUGGUAUCUCUUUGUAGUUUGGGUUUUAAGCUUCAAGAAUGGAUUUAGAGCUAUUCUAGCAUGCUAAAUAGAUGAUUAUUGCUAGAAUCUAAGAUCAAUUUAAUUAAUUCUUGCCUAGUUAUAAACCUAGGGCUCGAAAUGCAAUUUUUAAAAAUAUGAGGGUUUGAUCUCAUUUAACCCUCUGGAAACCUAAUUGAUAGGUCACUGAACGUGUUGGAAGUGACGGUUCGGCGAUUCGUCGAGCCGGUGCAAAGUUAUUAAAGAAACGGAUGUUUAGGCUUCGUUUCUGCCUGGAGGGCCGAGGCGACGUCGUAAAAUCCUGGAAACGGAUUUGAAGCAUCGUAAUAGGAAACCGAAGACCUUUAAUUUUCGGAUCGCGGAUCGGAGGUCGUUUGGUGGUCGCGCGCGCGGAUUGGGUCGAGCCAAGCGGCGUGCGCCGCGGGAGGCCGAUUGCGAGUGACGACGAGCAAUCGGAACGCGAUAAAAGGUGGGUGGUGUCCAUCCCGAAUCAAUCGGGCUCCCUUUUAUGUCUAAGUUUUAUAUUGAUCAAAUUGCAUAUUGACAUCUUGCAUUAUAGGGUGAUAAAUGAUGGUUUGGUCCUAUACCUUGCAUGUUCUUUGGUAGAAUAAUGUAUUUGGCUUAGUACUUAUAUCUAACAUGCUUGAGGUUUAUAUAUGUGAUGUGGAACCCUAUAAUGAGAUGAUAAGUGUGGAUGGGAAUUUAAUAAUGCAUUGGCUAUUGCAUUGAAAACUUGUAAAGAACGAGUGGCAUCUAGUUGAUAGUAAACAAAGAACAAAUGACACCUAUGAGUCAUAGUGUAUAUGAAACCUAUGGGCUAUAUGAUGGUUGUAACCCUAGAGGAUAGGGUAUUCUCGAGACGAGGAUUGGAUCAUGCUCACGGUCUGUUUUUAAAUCUUGUGAUGGAAGCCCCACACAAGUAGUGCGCUCCGGAGUUGGUCACGUGGGAUUGCUGAUUUCGGGUCCCAAGGGAUUGCCUAUUUUAGGCCCCGGCAGACGGUCUCGGUUCGUAGUGCGAGUUGAACCUCCCUACCUUCGAGAUGGCUAGUGAGCUGUAGGCUCCUUCAGGGAAGCCACGAGAUUAAGAAACAAGUAAAUGAGAUUGAUGAACGAGUAAAUGGCUUUACCUUUGGACAUGGUAAUGGGUUAGUUGCUUACCUAUUUCAUUGUACAUGCAUUCAUAUCUUUAUGAUUGGGCAUAGUAGAGUACCUUUACUUCUGUCAUUUACCGCUUUCCUUAUCUAUCUAUCUAUCGAUUAUCUACUUGUGCCCAACUUGGACCUAGUGGGGAGAUCGGCGGAGUCGGCGGCCGAACCCACUGGGAACUAAGGAAGUUAGUUCUCACCCCCAUUUUUACUACAGGGCCGAGCGCGAGUUCACACGGCGAGGAUCGCGGUAAGGGCC
This 2342-nucleotide long non-coding RNA is filed under the name Ananas comosus (pineapple). RNAcentral describes it as "long non-coding RNA (ACOM_LNC037147)". Lineage: Eukaryota; Viridiplantae; Streptophyta; Magnoliopsida; Poales; Bromeliaceae. The record is from RNAcentral.